CAUGCAAGUCGAACGGAACUGUUUUGAAAGAUUUCUUCGGAAUGAAUUUGAUUUAGUUUAGUGGCGGACGGGUGAGUAACGCGUGAGUAACCUGCCUUCAAGAGGGGGAUAACAUUCUGAAAAGAAUGCUAAUACCGCAUGACAUAUUGGAAUCACAUGAUUUUGAUAUCAAAGAUUUUAUCGCUUGAAGAUGGACUCGCGUCCGAUUAGUUAGUUGGUGAGGUAACGGCUCACCAAGACCGCGAUCGGUAGCCGGACUGAGAGGUUGAACGGCCACAUUGGGACUGAGACACGGCCCAGACUCCUACGGGAGGCAGCAGUGGGGGAUAUUGCGCAAUGGGGGCAACCCUGACGCAGCAACGCCGCGUGAAGGAUGAAGGUUUUCGGAUUGUAAACUUCUUUUAUUAAGGACGAAACUUGACGGUACUUAAUGAAUAAGCUCCGGCUAACUACGUGCCAGCAGCCGCGGUAAUACGUAGGGAGCAAGCGUUGUCCGGAUUUACUGGGUGUAAAGGGUGCGUAGGCGGCUUUGCAAGUCAGAUGUGAAAUCUAUGGGCUCAACCCAUAAACUGCAUUUGAAACUGUAGAGCUUGAGUGAAGUAGAGGCAGGCGGAAUUCCCCGUGUAGCGGUGAAAUGCGUAGAGAUGGGGAGGAACACCAGUGGCGAAGGCGGCCUGCUGGGCUUUAACUGACGCUGAGGCACGAAAGCGUGGGUAGCAAACAGGAUUAGAUACCCUGGUAGUCCACGCUGUAAACGAUGAUUACUAGG
Molecule: ribosomal RNA, 769 nt
Filed under: uncultured bacterium
Lineage: Bacteria
Description: bacterial SSU rRNA
Rfam family: Bacterial small subunit ribosomal RNA
Source: RNAcentral